AUAGCUCUAAAAAUCAACUCAACCCAACCUGUAAGGGUCAGAUUGGAGCCAUUUGGUAAGGUCUAAUAAAAAAAUAUAUCAUUAAAUCAUUUAAAUUCAUUAUUGAAAAAAUUUACAAUACAUAAAUUUUUUUAAAUUAUUAAAAAGGAGUUAUGUUAUUUGAGUUGAAAUGCUAAUCCGAUACAGACUCAAGCUAUGCUUGGGGGGAAAUUUUUUAAUUUAGAAAAGAUAAUAAUCAACCAGCCCCAAAGGCCAAAGUCAUAAUUUUGAUAUAUAAUUUUACGAGUGGUGUCAGUAGAAAGAAAUUAUUUAAGCAAAGCUAAACAUGACAAUUAUCCAACAAGUGGACUAGGUGAAAAAAUGUGGGUUGCGAAGGACAUUGAAGAUCUUAACCGAACUAUGUCUGAGAGAAGCAGCGGAAGGUUACGAAGCCAAGAGAACCCGUGAAGACUAUGAUGGGGCUGGAAGCUCUAAUGACAAACCUCACCCAAAAAGGAUUGCAAGACUCCUAGAAAUUAUGGCCCACGGUAACUCUGACUGUGAGGGGUCAAGUGAGUACAAAGACUGUAGUGAAGACUGAAGAGCUAAGCGAAAGUGACCUUGAAGGUUAAUCAACUUUUUUCCCUGAUUGUUCAGUUUAAUUAUAUCGAUUUACUGAUAAGCUGAUAUGGCCUCAUACAACUCCCAAACAUGGUGAGUGAAACUAUAUCUUAUGCUAUGAGGAAGAGGAAAACUUGGAUCAUUUAUUCCUGAAGUGUAGUCUUUCUUGGGCUGUAUGGUUUUGGUCAGAUUAGAGCCGUAGAACUUUGUGCAUUUAUCCUUGCUCUUUGAAGCAGUUGUUGACUUAGUGAAUGGAGGAUCUACAUUUUCAAUAGCAGGAAUAUGUGAUGUUCUCUAGAUUGUCAUAUCAUAAAUCUGUUGGCCUUGUGGUACAACCUCAACAAAGUGAUGUUUGAGGGAGCAAAACAGGCUGGCAUAUGAAUUUUUAAUGCUCAGUAAAGCUUUGUUUUCCAGGUAUGCACAAGCCUAUCAUGCACAUUUGGAUCAGAGUAACUGUAGGAAAGUACCAAGGCGAGUGUGUCCAGUUGUGGAGGGAUAGCUGGUGUUGCUGACAGUUAAGCGACACUGGCAAAGACGGUGCAGAUGGAGUGGUUUUGCCUAAAUCAUGUGCUGGCAGGAAAAUUUUGAAGGUGUUGCAGUUCUGCCAUAUGCAGCUGAGUAGCUGCUAGAAGCCUAGCUGUUUUGCUCUGCAUCAUUCAUCUCUUAUAACAUUAAAGAAAUUUCCAGUAGAACUUGGCUUGGAUAGGGUGAUGAUUGUUGAUCACAAAGUGUUUCAAUUCAAAAGAAUCUAGAAAGGAUAUUUUCUGCAAGCAUAUUUUCUGCAUUAUUCA
Molecule: long non-coding RNA, 1391 nt
Organism: Quercus robur (English oak)
Lineage: Eukaryota; Viridiplantae; Streptophyta; Magnoliopsida; Fagales; Fagaceae
Exons: 2
Source: RefSeq, a predicted model, not a curated record